CAACAAUUCCAGCCUGUUGAGAUUAAGCUGAGUCUAAUAAAAAUAAGUCAAAGGGAGGCAGUGAACUAGCAAGAGUCCACUUAGUUUCUUUUUCUGAAUAGUAAGAGUCCAUCAAGUUCUAUUAAUAACAUAGAACCACAGAGAUUACCCCUUAUCACACCCCCCAGACACAAACCCAUCGACUAACUUCGUCCCAGCAAAGAAUGCUAUCAAUUACUGUUGCUGUGCUUGGUGGUGCCUUUCCAAAAUCAUCCUGGUUGAAAGCUGACGACUCCUCAAACAUGCCAGAGAUGAUUUUCAAUUGAUCUUGUAACUUCUCAACAUCUUCAGUGGCCAUGUUGCCGGUAAUUGCCCCCUUGUCAUCAAACUUGCUCCGUUAGCCUUAUCUGUCUCACUGAGUCUCCAUGAGCAGAAGCAAUGAUUCCAAGGACAAAUUUAUAACAACUUGACAUAUCAUAGAGUGGACCUAGCGGAAAAGUUCUACAUUUUAAAGAGUAACAUGCCCAAUGACAGUGAUUGAGAGCGAUUGUAAUGUGCUACUUUUAGAUCACUUGUAAAUUCUCCAUUCGGAUUUAUGGAUGUUGUGAACCACUUCUUCAUAGAUCAUGUAUGGGUGGAAUCAAACUAAGAAAAUGAGAGAGAAAAUAAUAUAACUUCAUUUCUAUAAUAUGCAUUCAUUACCAGACAUGAAUACCUUCAUAUUCAAAAUGAUAGAUCACCUCCAUAAUUCACCUAAUGUCCUCUUUUCAUUAAUUUAGGCAUCUAUUUCCAUAAUUUAAAAUUCAGUGGUGCUAACUCAGCAUUUCAAGCAAAAGAGCCACAAAAAUACCAAGUAGAGCUCCUUCAUCUCCAUUAGGCUGAUCUUCUUAUUCAAACCUGACCCUAAACGUGCAUCAAACCAGUUUGGCAAGCACACCUUGGGUAAUAAAAAAAAGACCACGUAGAUUUUCCUUCCAUAAAACCCAACGGAACUUAGGAAGGAUUAAAGUGGAAGAUGUGACAAGUUUUAGGACUUAAAUGCACAAAAUGAAAGUGUUAGAUCUCGUGUGCAUUAUCU
This is a long non-coding RNA of Rhodamnia argentea, 1057 nucleotides long. RefSeq lists it as uncharacterized. NCBI's taxonomy places the organism in Eukaryota, Viridiplantae, Streptophyta, Magnoliopsida, Myrtales, Myrtaceae. The record is from RefSeq and is a predicted model, not a curated record. The transcript has 3 exons.